Hyla sarda is the source of this 1066-nucleotide long non-coding RNA. RefSeq lists it as uncharacterized. NCBI's taxonomy places the organism in Eukaryota, Metazoa, Chordata, Amphibia, Anura, Hylidae. The transcript has 3 exons. The record is from RefSeq and is a predicted model, not a curated record.
UUAAAUAGAAGUAAUUUACAAAUCUGUUUAACUUUCUGGAGCAGUUGAUUUAAAAAAAACUAUUUUCCAGUGGAGUAAUGGAAAAGUAAUAAGUAAUAUGUUAUCCUGGAGCGGCGUUAUUAUUUUAUACUCGAAACUGAUAAAAUCCACCGUGUGUCACAGGAAGCGGGGGUCCGACUCCACACUGUGUAAGGGGCCCAACAUUUCUGCUAGGGUUUUGUGUAACCUCUUCAGCCAAGACCAGACACAGGACAUCUCUGGCUAAAUCCUCUAACCAGGUCAUCCCACGUCUGGACCUUUUGAAGUGAACUGUGGAGAAUGUAUGAUGGUCCACCCAGGGGGAAGAAGGCCCGACCCUCUGGAGCUUUGUAGCAUGGAUCCUGAGGUGAUCUCUGUAACCAACUUCAUGGGAUUAUACCAUCAAGGAUCCCUCACAUGGAUACCUAUACCAUGUGAUCUUUUAAUUGCUGAAGCCUCCUGGAGCAGCAGAUCAGCGAUCGGACAGUGAGAAGGCAGAAACGGCUCCCCUCUUAUCCACAGGCGAUUUCUGGUACUGCAGCUUUGUCUACACAUCCCUGAUCCAUGGCCCACGGCUCUGCACAGAUUGUGGAUACACGGAUGACUGCGACCAUGAUGUCCUGGAGCAGCUCAGGGUGAGACGUGUCUAGACCUACCUGCUCAUUCAUCACCACAGGACCGCACUUGUCUUCACAUGGAGCUCAUAUUGAUUUGGAUUAGAUUUCACCAUCCACAUUCCUGACAGGAUGAGCAAUGGAGCCCCGGGAUGUGCUCUGCACUCUCCUUAUAACUAUCUGUGGUGGGAAUAUAGUACAUCUCCCCCACCAAACAUCCCCUGUUACUGGAUGGUUAUCCCCGGGUUUAUCUGUACAGCCCCGCCCCCUGUAUGACAUCAUUGAUAUAAUAUAAUAGUAAUAUAAUGACAUGUGAUCACAGCCCCGCCCUCUGUAUGACAUCACUGAUAUAAUAGUAAUAUGACAUGUGAUCACAGCCCCGCCCCCUGUAUGACAUCAUUGAUAAAAUAUAAUAUAAUAGUAAUAUAAUGACG